Molecule: ribosomal RNA, 406 nt
Filed under: uncultured bacterium
Lineage: Bacteria
Description: partial 16S ribosomal RNA
Rfam family: Bacterial small subunit ribosomal RNA
Source: RNAcentral
AUUGAACGCUGGCGGCAGGCCUAACACAUGCAAGUCGAACGAGUGGCGGACGGGUGAGUAAUGUCUGGGAAACUGCCUGAUGGAGGGGGAUAACUACUGGAAACGGUAGCUAAUACCGCAUACAAUCAGAUGUGCCCAGAUGGGAUUAGCUGGUUGGUGGGGUAACGGCUCACCAGUGCGACGAUCCCUAGCUGGUCUGAGAGGAUGACCAGCCACCCGGGAACGGAGACCCGGUCCAGACUCCUACGUGAGGCAGCAGGGGGGAAUAUUGCACAAUGGGCGCAAUCCUGAUGCAGCCAUGCCGCGUGUAUGAAGAAGGCCUUCGGGUUGUAAAGUACUUUCAGCGGGUAGGCGUUACCCGCAGAAGAAGCACCGGCUAACUCCGUGCCAGCAGCCGCGGUAAUAC